CACGUAGGGUGCAAGCGUUGUCCGGAAUCAUUGGGCGUAAAGAGCUCGUAGGCGGCUUAGUAAGUCGGGUGUGAAAACCCCAGGCUCAACCUGGGGACGCCACCCGAUACUGCUAUAGCUAGAGUCCAGUAGGGGAGUGUGGAAUUCCCAGUGUAGCGGUGAAAUGCGUAGAUAUCGGGAGGAACACCUGAGGCGAAGGCGGGCUACUGGGCCGAUACUGACGCUGAUGCGCGAAAGCCAGGGGAGCAAACGGG
RNAcentral lists this ribosomal RNA (254 nucleotides) under uncultured bacterium. RNAcentral's name for it is "partial 16S ribosomal RNA". It matches the Rfam family "Bacterial small subunit ribosomal RNA", at positions 524 to 776 of the family's 1533-position model. The record is from RNAcentral.